AGUCGCGAGUCUUAGGGACUCGGCGUACCGCUCAGUAACACGUGGGUAACCUGCCCUAUGCUGGGGGAUAACCUCGGGAAACUGAGAAUAAUACCCCAUAGUUCACCACGCCUGGAACGGUGGGUGGAUGAAAGCUCCGGCGGCAUAGGAUGGGCCUGCGGCGUAUCAGGUUGUAGGGGGUGUAAUGUACCCUCUAGCCAUCUACGCGUACGGGUGUCGGGAGACAUCGCCCGGAGAUGGAUUCUGAGACACGAAUCCAGACCCUACGGGGUGCAGCAGGCGCGAAAACUUGGCAAUGCGAGCAAUCGUGACCAGGGAACUCCAAGUGCAUCGGGUAAGACCGAUGCUUUUCUUGACUCUUCAAAGGUCUUGGAAUAAGGGGUGGGUAAGGACGGUGCCAGCCGCCGCGGUAAUACCGGCGCCUCAAGUGGUAGUCGCUUUUAUUGGGCCUAAAACGUCCGCAGCCGGUUUGGUACAUUCGUGGGUAAAUCAAGGCGCUCAACGUCUUGAAUUCUGCGAGCACGGCCAGACUUGGGACCGGGUGAGGUGUGGGGUACUCUCAGGGUAGGGGUAAAAUCCUGUCAUCCUGAGAGGACCACCUGUUGCGAAGGCGCCACACUAGAACGGAUCCGACGGUCAGGGACGAAGCCUAGGGGCACGAACCGGAUUAGAUACCCGGGUAGUCCUAGGUGUAAACGCUGUGGACUUGAUGUUGGGAGUGCUCCGAGCACCCUCAGUGCCGAAGCGAAGGUGAUAAGUCCACUGCCUGGGGAGUACGGUCGCAAGGCUGAAACUUAAAGGAAUUGGCGGGGGAGCACUGCAACCUGAGGAUUGUGCGGUUUAAUUG
This 847-nucleotide ribosomal RNA is filed under the name uncultured archaeon. RNAcentral's name for it is "bacterial SSU rRNA". It matches the Rfam family "Archaeal small subunit ribosomal RNA", at positions 56 to 908 of the family's 1478-position model. The record is from RNAcentral.